GCAUUUCAGUUUGCUUGCAAACUGGAGAUGGCGACCGGCGCACGGGUGAGUAACACGUAUCCAACCUGCCGAUAACUCGGGGAUAGCCUUUCGAAAGAAAGAUUAAUACCCGAUGGUAUAAUUAGACCGCAUGGUCUUGUUAUUAAAGAAUUUCGGUUAUCGAUGGGGAUGCGUUCCAUUAGGCAGUUGGUGAGGUAACGGCUCACCAAACCUUCGAUGGAUAGGGGUUCUGAGAGGAAGGUCCCCCACAUUGGAACUGAGACACGGUCCAAACUCCUACGGGAGGCAGCAGUGAGGAAUAUUGGUCAAUGGGCGCAGGCCUGAACCAGCCAAGUAGCGUGAAGGAUGACUGCCCUAUGGGUUGUAAACUUCUUUUAUAUGGGAAUAAAGUUUUCCACGUGUGGAAUUUUGUAUGUACCAUAUGAAUAAGGAUCGGCUAACUCCGUGCCAGCAGCCGCGGUAAUACGGAGGAUCCGAGCGUUAUCCGGAUUUAUUGGGUUUAAAGGGAGCGUAGGUGGACAGUUAAGUCAGUUGUGAAAGUUUGCGGCUCAACCGUAAAAUUGCAGUUGAUACUGGCUGUCUUGAGUACAGUAGAGGUGGGCGGAAUUCGUGGUGUAGCGGUGAAAUGCUUAGAUAUCACGAAGAACUCCGAUUGCGAAGGCAGCUCACUGGACUGCAACUGACACUGAUGCUCG
RNAcentral lists this ribosomal RNA (695 nucleotides) under uncultured Bacteroidales bacterium. RNAcentral describes it as "bacterial SSU rRNA". It matches the Rfam family "Bacterial small subunit ribosomal RNA", at positions 69 to 755 of the family's 1533-position model. Lineage: Bacteria; Pseudomonadati; Bacteroidota; Bacteroidia; Bacteroidales. The record is from RNAcentral.